RNAcentral lists this transfer RNA (84 nucleotides) under Actinomycetota bacterium. RNAcentral describes it as "tRNA-Leu". It matches the Rfam family "tRNA". From Rfam's summary of the family: Transfer RNA (tRNA) molecules are approximately 80 nucleotides in length. Lineage: Bacteria; Bacillati; Actinomycetota. The record is from RNAcentral.
GCGGGCGUGGCGGAAUUGGCAGACGCGCCGGCUUUAGGUGCCGGUGCUCUUUUGAGCGUGGGGGUUCGAGUCCCUCCGCCCGCA